This 492-nucleotide ribosomal RNA is filed under the name uncultured bacterium. RNAcentral's name for it is "partial 16S ribosomal RNA". It matches the Rfam family "Bacterial small subunit ribosomal RNA", at positions 29 to 507 of the family's 1533-position model. The record is from RNAcentral.
AGUGAACGCUGGCGGUAGGCCUAACACAUGCAAGUCGAACGGCAGCACAGUAAGAGCUUGCUCUUACGGGUGGCGAGUGGCGGACGGGUGAGGAAUACAUCGGAAUCUACUUUUUCGUGGGGGAUAACGUAGGGAAACUUACGCUAAUACCGCAUACGACCUACGGGUGAAAGCAGGGGAUCUUCGGACCUUGCGCGAUUGAAUGAGCCGAUGUCGGAUUAGCUAGUUGGCGGGGUAAAGGCCCACCAAGGCGACGAUCCGUAGCUGGUCUGAGAGGAUGAUCAGCCACACUGGAACUGAGACACGGUCCAGACUCCUACGGGAGGCAGCAGUGGGGAAUAUUGGACAAUCGGCGCAAGCCUGAUCCAGCCAUACCGCGUGGGUGAAGAAGGCCUCCGGGUUGUAAAGCCCUUUUGUUGGGAAAGGAAAGCAGCAGGUUAAUACCCCGCUGUUCUGACGGUACCCAAAGAAUAAGCACCGGCUAACUUCGUG